This 354-nucleotide long non-coding RNA is filed under the name Sorghum bicolor (sorghum). RNAcentral's name for it is "long non-coding RNA (SBIC_LNC000844)". Lineage: Eukaryota; Viridiplantae; Streptophyta; Magnoliopsida; Poales; Poaceae. The record is from RNAcentral.
AUUCUUUAGGUGCGUCAUUUGAGCUAGGUGUGGACCUUGACAUCUGCACCUCUUGAUACGGUGUCACCCAUGUUUUUCGUUUGCCCAGCAGUUCGAAGUGCGGCGUUGGUAGCAUCCUCCUCAGUGUGUUUGUGCUCGUAGAUCCAGAUCCUUCACUUGGUAGAGUCUGGGAGUUGGAAAACUCCUCUAUGUUUUGCUCGAAGUGUAUCCUGCUCAUAGAGACAAGGCAGAGAUCAAGUGCAUGGGCCCUGUUGGUGGAAAACACCAACAUAACCAAAAGUGUAUUUGUUCUUCUCUAACCUUAAGCAUAGUGAGCAAGACAAAGUUGAUGGAUGAUAAGAUCAUGAGUGUAGC